UGCUCAUCAUCAUAUACUACACAUGUUCCAUUGUUCUCCUUUACAUAAUGUGUCUUGGACCAAAUAUCCACAACAAAGUUUCUCAUCUAUACAGCCCAAGCACAUCCAGCAAGCUCUCCUUUAGUAACUGGAUUGCAUGUACUUUCCGGACAAAAUCUCUUUUGUAUUUUAUCUAGCAUGUAUGCUAGUAAUAUUUGAAGGAACGAAAAGAUAAGUGUGUAUACUGAUUUAUUAGAAAUACUGCUUUGCUGUUUUUUUCUUGAUUAUACACCAAGUAAUGAAGCCCCUUGUGGCUGCACAUUAUCAGAUCAUUAAUUGUAGAAUAAUAUGCUGCCUUACAGAGUUUCAAGACUUGAAGCAGUAGGACUGUUUAAAACAAAAUUAUCUUGAAUUCAUGAGACAAUUUUCCAACACAGAAUUCUACUUGCAAAGUCAUUACAUAGAGAUCUAUUUUCGAAUGAACAAACCAAUGAGUAUCUCCUACAAUAACUAUUUCAUUAGAUAAUCACAAAAAUGAAGAUAUCAACUUGUUUAUAAUUUAUGCUAGUCCAUUAAUACUAACUAAAAAAAGCUCAAAUUAAAGGACAAAAUUCUAUUAAGAAAGCAGAUUGACCACCAAUCAUCCCAAAGAAGACUACCAUCUCUUUUCUAUCGUAACAUAAUUCUGCAAGAAUACAUAUAUGUUACUCAAUGACAAACAUCAUAACA
RNAcentral lists this long non-coding RNA (708 nucleotides) under Olea europaea (common olive). RNAcentral's name for it is "long non-coding RNA (OEUR_LNC005789)". Lineage: Eukaryota; Viridiplantae; Streptophyta; Magnoliopsida; Lamiales; Oleaceae. The record is from RNAcentral.